Molecule: ribosomal RNA, 391 nt
Filed under: uncultured bacterium
Lineage: Bacteria
Description: bacterial SSU rRNA
Rfam family: Bacterial small subunit ribosomal RNA
Source: RNAcentral
AUUGAACGCUGGCGGCAUGCCUUACACAUGCAAGUCGAACGGCAGCGGACCUUCGGGUGCCGGCGAGUGGCGAACGGGUGAGUAAUAUAUCGGAACGUACCUUUCAGUGGGGGAUAACGUAGCGAAAGUUACGCUAAUACCGCAUAUUCUGUGAGCAGGAAAGCAGGGGAUCGCAAGACCUUGCGCUGAUUGAGCGGCCGAUAUCAGAUUAGCUAGUUGGUGAGGUAAAGGCUCACCAAGGCGACGAUCUGUAGCGGGUCUGAGAGGAUGAUCCACCACACUGGAACUGAGACACGGUCCAGACUCCUACGGGAGGCAGCAGUGGGGAAUUUUGGACAAUGGGCGCAAGCCUGAUCCAGCCAUGCCGCGUGAGUGAAGAAGGCCUGGUUGU